RNAcentral lists this ribosomal RNA (234 nucleotides) under uncultured Lactobacillus sp. RNAcentral describes it as "partial 16S ribosomal RNA". It matches the Rfam family "Bacterial small subunit ribosomal RNA", at positions 129 to 355 of the family's 1533-position model. Lineage: Bacteria; Bacillati; Bacillota; Bacilli; Lactobacillales; Lactobacillaceae. The record is from RNAcentral.
CCCCAUAGUCUGGGAUACCACUUGGAAACAGGUGCUAAUACCGGAUAAGAAAGCGGAUCGCAUGAUCAGCUUUUAAAAGGCGGCGUAAGCUGUCGCUAUGGGAUGGCCCCGCGGUGCAUUAGCUAGUUGGUAAGGUAAAGGCUUACCAAGGCGAUGAUGCAUAGCCGAGUUGAGAGACUGAUCGGCCACAUUGGGACUGAGACACGGCCCAAACUCCUACGGGAGGCAGCAGUA